RNAcentral lists this ribosomal RNA (1796 nucleotides) under Escherichia coli. RNAcentral's name for it is "partial 23S ribosomal RNA". It matches the Rfam family "Bacterial large subunit ribosomal RNA", at positions 386 to 2167 of the family's 2925-position model. Lineage: Bacteria; Pseudomonadati; Pseudomonadota; Gammaproteobacteria; Enterobacterales; Enterobacteriaceae. The record is from RNAcentral.
AAAUGCACAUACUGUGAGCUCGAUGAGUAGGGCGGGACACGUGGUAUCCUGUCUGAAUAUGGGGGGACCAUCCUCCAAGGCUAAAUACUCCUGACUGACCGAUAGUGAACCAGUACCGUGAGGGAAAGGCGAAAAGAACCCCGGCGAGGGGAGUGAAAAAGAACCUGAAACCGUGUACGUACAAGCAGUGGGAGCACGCUUAGGCGUGUGACUGCGUACCUUUUGUAUAAUGGGUCAGCGACUUAUAUUCUGUAGCAAGGUUAACCGAAUAGGGGAGCCGAAGGGAAACCGAGUCUUAACUGGGCGUUAAGUUGCAGGGUAUAGACCCGAAACCCGGUGAUCUAGCCAUGGGCAGGUUGAAGGUUGGGUAACACUAACUGGAGGACCGAACCGACUAAUGUUGAAAAAUUAGCGGAUGACUUGUGGCUGGGGGUGAAAGGCCAAUCAAACCGGGAGAUAGCUGGUUCUCCCCGAAAGCUAUUUAGGUAGCGCCUCGUGAAUUCAUCUCCGGGGGUAGAGCACUGUUUCGGCAAGGGGGUCAUCCCGACUUACCAACCCGAUGCAAACUGCGAAUACCGGAGAAUGUUAUCACGGGAGACACACGGCGGGUGCUAACGUCCGUCGUGAAGAGGGAAACAACCCAGACCGCCAGCUAAGGUCCCAAAGUCAUGGUUAAGUGGGAAACGAUGUGGGAAGGCCCAGACAGCCAGGAUGUUGGCUUAGAAGCAGCCAUCAUUUAAAGAAAGCGUAAUAGCUCACUGGUCGAGUCGGCCUGCGCGGAAGAUGUAACGGGGCUAAACCAUGCACCGAAGCUGCGGCAGCGACGCUGAUGCGUUGUUGGGUAGGGGAGCGUUCUGUAAGCCUGUGAAGGUGUGCUGUGAGGCAUGCUGGAGGUAUCAGAAGUGCGAAUGCUGACAUAAGUAACGAUAAAGCGGGUGAAAAGCCCGCUCGCCGGAAGACCAAGGGUUCCUGUCCAACGUUAAUCGGGGCAGGGUGAGUCGACCCCUAAGGCGAGGCCGAAAGGCGUAGUCGAUGGGAAACAGGUUAAUAUUCCUGUACUUGGUGUUACUGCGAAGGGGGGACGGAGAAGGCUAUGUUGGCCGGGCGACGGUUGUCCCGGUUUAAGCGUGUAGGCUGGUUUUCCAGGCAAAUCCGGAAAAUCAAGGCUGAGGCGUGAUGACGAGGCACUACGGUGCUGAAGCAACAAAUGCCCUGCUUCCAGGAAAAGCCUCUAAGCAUCAGGUAACAUCAAAUCGUACCCCAAACCGACACAGGUGGUCAGGUAGAGAAUACCAAGGCGCUUGAGAGAACUCGGGUGAAGGAACUAGGCAAAAUGGUGCCGUAACUUCGGGAGAAGGCACGCUGAUAUGUAGGUGAAGCGACUUGCUCGUGGAGCUGAAAUCAGUCGAAGAUACCAGCUGGCUGCAACUGUUUAUUAAAAACACAGCACUGUGCAAACACGAAAGUGGACGUAUACGGUGUGACGCCUGCCCGGUGCCGGAAGGUUAAUUGAUGGGGUCAGCGCAAGCGAAGCUCUUGAUCGAAGCCCCGGUAAACGGCGGCCGUAACUAUAACGGUCCUAAGGUAGCGAAAUUCCUUGUCGGGUAAGUUCCGACCUGCACGAAUGGCGUAAUGAUGGCCAGGCUGUCUCCACCCGAGACUCAGUGAAAUUGAACUCGCUGUGAAGAUGCAGUGUACCCGCGGCAAGACGGAAAGACCCCGUGAACCUUUACUAUAGCUUGACACUGAACAUUGAGCCUUGAUGUGUAGGAUAGGUGGGAGGCUUUGAAGUGUGG